UCCUAAGAUGAGCUCAACGAGAAUAGAAAUCUCGUGUGGAACAGAAGGGUAAAAGCUCGUUUGAUUCUGAAGAAGAAGAAGGAGGAGGAGGAAGAGGAGAAGA
This 103-nucleotide ribosomal RNA is filed under the name Olea europaea subsp. europaea. RNAcentral describes it as "PK-G12rRNA". It matches the Rfam family "Eukaryotic large subunit ribosomal RNA", at positions 2661 to 2751 of the family's 3401-position model. Lineage: Eukaryota; Viridiplantae; Streptophyta; Magnoliopsida; Lamiales; Oleaceae. The record is from RNAcentral.